This 253-nucleotide ribosomal RNA is filed under the name uncultured bacterium. RNAcentral's name for it is "partial 16S ribosomal RNA". It matches the Rfam family "Bacterial small subunit ribosomal RNA", at positions 524 to 776 of the family's 1533-position model. The record is from RNAcentral.
UACAGAGGGGGCAAGCGUUAUUCGGAAUUAUUGGGCGUAAAGGGCGCGUAGGCGGCCAUUCAAGUGACGGGUGAAAGCCCUCGGCUUAACCGAGGAACUGCCUGUCAGACUGGAUGGCUUGAGACCGGGAGAGGUGAGUGGAAUUCCCGGUGUAGAGGUGAAAUUCGUAGAUAUCGGGAGGAACACCAGUGGCGAAGGCGGCGAUCUGGGUCGAUACUGACGCUGAGGUGCGAAAGCGUGGGGAGCAAACGGG